Molecule: long non-coding RNA, 201 nt
Filed under: Musa acuminata (dwarf banana)
Lineage: Eukaryota; Viridiplantae; Streptophyta; Magnoliopsida; Zingiberales; Musaceae
Description: long non-coding RNA (MACU_LNC006174)
Source: RNAcentral
ACGGAUGCACAUAUCUAUCUGAACCCACAUGAACGUGAGCUUCAUAAUGUUCUGAGUUCAAAACAUUUUCAAUUAAUAUGACUCUUUUGUUAUCACAUUCUCAAGGUUUGCUGCCGCACAGGUGAUCACAUAAAAGAAGAAGAAGAAGAAAAUAUGAUAAAGCAGCAGCAGUUUAAUCAUGUAGCUUCCAUAACUCCACGA